GACGAACGCUGGCGGCGUGCUUAACACAUGCAAGUCGAACGGAAAGGCCCUGCUUUUGUGGGGUGCUCGAGUGGCGAACGGGUGAGUAACACGUGAGUAACCUGCCCUUGACUUUGGGAUAACUUCAGGAAACUGGGGCUAAUACCGUAUAGGAGCUCCUGCUGCAUGGUGGGGGUUGGAAAUUUUCGGCGGUUGGGGAUGGACUCGCGGCUUAUCAGCUUGUUGGUGGGGUAGUGGCUUACCAAGGCUUUGACGGGUAGCCGGCCUGAGAGGGUGACCGGCCACAUUGGGACUGAGAUACGGCCCAGACUCCUACGGGAGGCAGAAGUGGGGAAUAUUGCACAAUGGGCGGAAGCCUGAUGCAGCAACGCCGCGUGCGGGAUGACGGCCUUCGGGUUGUAAACCGCUUUCGCCUGUGACGAAGCGUGAGUGACGGUAAUGGGUAAAGAAGCACCGGCUAACUACGUG
Molecule: ribosomal RNA, 468 nt
Filed under: uncultured bacterium
Lineage: Bacteria
Description: partial 16S ribosomal RNA
Rfam family: Bacterial small subunit ribosomal RNA
Source: RNAcentral